RNAcentral lists this long non-coding RNA (165 nucleotides) under Mustela putorius furo (domestic ferret). RNAcentral's name for it is "lncRNA (ENSMPUG00000031643.1)". Lineage: Eukaryota; Metazoa; Chordata; Mammalia; Carnivora; Mustelidae. The record is from RNAcentral.
GGCACCAUUAAUUCACAGAGAAAGGAAAUGCCAGAAGAGCAGAAGAUUUGGGAAAGCCCAUGAAGGAAAGAGAAGAAGGCAGUGAUCGUUUUAAAGAGAAGAGCAGGGAGAGACAUGCAGAGGUAAGACAAGGAACCACAAAGCUCAGGGCUACCCCUAUGAUGC